ACAGGCCAAGCUUUCGAGGUUGAGUGUCCCGUGGCUACUAAGUGCUGGAGGCAGGAAGGAUACUCUGAAUAAUGACACUGUUACCCCAAGCCCGGACCUGACAGCAGAAGGGCUGGGAAUCUCAGGCAGCCUGGCCUUUGUGGUUCUCUCUUUCCUGGCUCUGGCUCUUGCAGUCCAUCUCCUGCUGCAGAUAGGAAAACGAGUCCAGCUGGCCAGAUUAAAGGCUUUGAUUUCCCGCUAGAACUACACAACACCUCAUAAACACACUGUGAAGGAAGACAAGUCUAGAAGCCUUUGCAAUCAGUGGUCCUGCUGCUGGACUAGAGAAAUGCAUUUGGGUGCUGAGGACUGCUGUAUAGGCCACUCUGAUUAUCUGCAGUGCCCCACAACUAUGCCAGGGGGAACUGGCCCAAGAUGACAUCCCUUGGGUCAGUGCCACCUGCACUGUGUAGGCAAUUACUUAAAGAACCUCUCCAGCCUUUCCAGUGUCCUGAGGACACAGCUGCUCCAUCUGCAGCCCUAGAGACACAACACUCAGCAACAAAAUGCUGCUUUACUGUCAGAGGCAGCAGAGUUUGCUCCAGGCUCCUGGGAGCAGCUCUGAACAUUGCGGUGACUCAGGAGC
This is a long non-coding RNA of Rhea pennata, 625 nucleotides long. RefSeq lists it as uncharacterized. The record is from RefSeq and is a predicted model, not a curated record. The transcript is spliced from 4 exons. NCBI's taxonomy places the organism in Eukaryota, Metazoa, Chordata, Aves, Rheiformes, Rheidae.